Molecule: non-coding RNA, 239 nt
Organism: Pelobates cultripes (western spadefoot toad)
Lineage: Eukaryota; Metazoa; Chordata; Amphibia; Anura; Pelobatidae
Source: the annotation of a GenBank genome assembly
GUCAGACUCUUUUCCGUACCAAUAGUGAAUGUGAGUAGUUCCGAGGUGGAUUGCUCUGAAGAUUCCAGGGAUGUCUAUUGGUCCCCAAGACCUCAAACAUUUCCUGAUCUAUUUCAGUAACCAGCAAUGGUUCACUUUGGUGCAUUAGAGAAGUUGACACAUAUCUGGUGAUAGACCAGUUGAUUGCAGAACACUCAGACUUUAAAACUUUUUCCACUCUAUGAGUUUGCCUUUAAAAC